CUGUAAAUAGUUUAAGAAAAAUGUAAAUUUGUGGGGUUUAAGUUAUAGGGAAUAUUUUAUAGAUAAU
This 67-nucleotide transfer RNA is filed under the name Pyura stolonifera. RNAcentral's name for it is "transfer RNA-His". The record is from RNAcentral. Lineage: Eukaryota; Metazoa; Chordata; Ascidiacea; Stolidobranchia; Pyuridae.